Molecule: long non-coding RNA, 6084 nt
Filed under: Salvia miltiorrhiza (redroot sage)
Lineage: Eukaryota; Viridiplantae; Streptophyta; Magnoliopsida; Lamiales; Lamiaceae
Description: long non-coding RNA (SMIL_LNC005850)
Source: RNAcentral
UUUUUUAUUCUUUUUAUCCAAUCCUCUUACUAUGUUCGCCAUUGUUAAUAGGGCUGGGGCCGACAACUGGCUGUCCUGGGAGAGCCGCUUGAGGAUUGCGUCAGAAGCAGCCGGUGCCCUAUCGUACCUCCACUCGGCGGCGAACAUCCCGAUCAUCCACAGGGACGUGAAAUCCGCCAACAUCUUGCUCGAUGAGUACUUCACCGCUAAGAUCUCCGAUUUCGGAGCCUCUAGGCUUAUUUCCCUGGACCAGACAGAGGUGACAACCCUGGUCCAGGGAACUUUAGGUUACCUGGACCCCGAGUAUUUCCACUCGAGCCAGCUAACAGAGAAGAGCGACGUCUACAGCUUUGGGGUCGUUUUAGCCGAGCUGAUGACGGGGAAACGACCCAUCGACAUGGAGAGGAGCCUCGAGACACGCAAUCUAACGACGUAUUUCUGCAUGUCCGUGAAGGAGAACAAGUUAUUUCAGAUCCUGGAGCCGAGGGUGGUGAGGGAGGGAUCGUUGGAGCAGCUGCAGGCGAUGGCGCAGCUGGUGAAGCGGUGCCUGAACUUAAAUGGCGAGGAUAGGCCAACGAUGAAGGAGGUGGCAAUGGAGCUCGAAGGGUUGAGGAAGUUCAACAAACAUCCUUGGGCGAAUCUGCAGGCUGUGGACGAGGAGUCUGUCGGAUUGAUGAAUCGGGAUGGAGUCGUCGUAGCCGAUGAUCUUUAUAGCGUUCCGAUUGCGUCGGGAGGGGAUCUAUACACUGCGCCGAUCAGCUCAGCGGAUUUCUCCGGGCAAUACAGCUUGAACAGUGAUCCGAGCCAAAACUUCUUCCCUCACAUGAAUAGCCCUCGCUGAUUAAAUUGAGUUGAGUUGAGUUGAGUCGGGUCGGGUCGGUUCGGAUCGAUUGGUGGUGUUUUACGUGUUUGGAAUUUUCUUUUCUAGAUAACUUCACUCGUNCGGGGAGGAGAAAAGCUUCGUGUUUCGUGGGGCGCCGGAUCUUUCCGACCCGAAUUUCGUGCAGCGGGUCAGGGAGACGGUUCCCAUCGUGGUGGAUUGGGCCAUUGGGAAUUUAACUUGCGAUAAGGCUACGAGUUCGGAUGGCUAUGCUUGCAAGGGCAAUAGUGAGUGCGUUGACUCCGGCACCGGCUUGGGAGGGUACCGCUGCAGGUGUAAAACCGGGUAUGAAGGCAACCCGUAUUUGGAUCCGGGCUGCAUAGGUAUGCUAUUCUUUCCUUUUACCACUACAAAAAAAAUAGCCUAUAGCUACAUCCCUUUUAUGACAUUAUAUGAAAGAUGUGGUUAUAAAUAAUCUAUUACGACAUCAUAUUUUCUAUAUUGAUUAAUGUAAAUAAUGUUUAAUACUAUUACAACAUCAAAAAGUCUAUGUCAUUAUAUCAUGGCAAUUACAACACAAUCGUGUGUCCCAGAACAUUGGGAACGUAUGUAGUGCCUACAUGCGUUUAAAUUAAUUAGCAAAAGAAUUACUAAUAAAUGGGUAAAAGGAAUAAAAGAAUCCCACCGCUCCAUACUCAAAAUUCUAGGCGCGGACUUUGCCACCAAAUUAAUUAAUUUUUCGCAUAAAAAAAUUUGAAAAAUAGAUUUGUGCCCUACCUUUAUUUUCAAAACCAGUUUCCAGAUUCAUUCUUUUCUUUUCAAUUCUUUUACAAACAUAGAAUAGAAACAAUAUUUUUUUUCUUCAGAUCUUGUCAAUUUGAUAGCAAAAUCUUUACAUAAUUCAAUUUAAUGAAGUGGGCCAGAGGGCGAAGUGCAAGAGCAGUUUUAUCGGCGACUCGUUCUAUAGCUUAUUCUACUCCGUCGCCGCUCUUCUUGAGGUGAAAUUAUCUUCUUCGGAUAUAGUCUUUGUUGCUUUCGAUUUUUUCUAGUCUUAUUGUUAAAUUGUUUAGAUGCCCGAAUUUCAUAUUUACUCGCUUGGUUAUUGUAAAGGGAUUAUGUUUAUUUGGUGUUUAGUCGACUCUUCAAGAGUUUUUGAAUAGAGGUUGUUAAACUUAGGGAAAAAGUUGAUUACACGAUUCAGUUUAAAGAUUACAGAUGUGAGAAUUUGUUAUUCUUUUGAUUUUACUUUUUUUUUUUGUUUAUGAUUAUAGGGACCGCGAAUUCCAUGGGUCUCAAAAGUGCAAAAUAGGCUCAAUUAAUUUGAGAUUUCUGUGAAUUUUUUACUGUGAGGGUAGUACUAGAGAAUCGUCAGAUAUAUAUGGUUCAAUAUUUUUUAUUUCAUGAAACCUGUGUCUGAUGUUGUUCUGCAUUUAGCCUUUUAUGUUAAAAUUCUUGUCUAUUGAAGCAAAUAAGGUGAUUUUGGUAGACGUAGCGGUCGUACAAGAAACGUUUAGAGCAAAGUUAGCUUCUUUAGAGUUGUUUACAUUUUUUGGAGAAUUCACAAGCCCACCAAUAUUCGUACAUUGCUCAUGGCAAGAGAUUUUAUUUUUUUUGAAGACCAUAUAUAUUUUAUGUUUACAAUUGUAGUAUCUCGUCGAAGAAGUUGCUUUCCAUCCAGAGAGAUUAAAGAAGAUCUCCCCACAGGUCUAGUAUUUAUUUUAUCUGUUAUCAUGGAUUUCCUUGAGUCCUAGACCAUGAUCCAUCUUCUUAACCAUGGAGUUAUAAUAUCUCAUAAAUAACUUCUGCUGUUAAAUUUUCUUGACAGGCUCCGAGGGACAUAUUUCUUCUUCUCUCAAGAUUCCUAUUUUUCUACGACACAGGUAAAUCCAUUUAUUUAUUGAUUUCUUUUUGAAAUUAGAUUACAUUAUUCCAACUUGAUUGUACUUCUAAGAAGAACUAGACAUAUUCUUUGCAAAUGACCGAUUUGCAAUAUUAUUGAAGCAUUUUCCAGAUUUUCCAAAUGCUUUUUUAAUUGGUGGUGCAGCAGACAGUGAACUAGUUGAUCAGGUACAUUAUAAGAUCACAAGAUACUAGGGCUGUUAUUGUUUCACUCUCAUGGGUUGUCUUCAUUAUCAUCCACAAAAUUUCACUUUGCCAAUCUUGCGUUGUUAAUUUUAUCAUCAUCAUCAUCUCAUUUGUUAUUGGUCAUUUUGUUGCCAGCUUUAGGAGUUGAAGGUAGACUCAGUCCUUCUUUAUUACUUAUCUCAUAUAAAAGUUCUUCAAGGUUAUCUCUCUCUCAUACACUUUGAUUUUCAGACAUCUUUCUAAAAUUUCUACAGGCCUAGAAAUAAGAGCAGCAACAAGUACAAGACUUAAAACAAGUCUAUAUAGCUUAACAUCUCCUGAUGGUCCCAUGUACCCGACAAAAGAUGUUCGUCAUGCAGCGGGGGAUAUGUUAGACUUUCUCUUCCCUGUAAGGUAUGAUAGCUCAAUACCUGUAUCAUAUUGAUUCAGCGUGGGAUGCAUUAUAUAGCUUUGUUAAGUUCUAACGGCUCUCUAAUUUUGUAUUAAUCCCUUUAUUAUGUUCUAACGGCUCUCUCUAAUUUUGUAGGUGAGGUAAUGAAUUGAUUUUGUGGAUUGGUGUGAGGUAACUUAUAGAUAGCUUUGAUAAUUCUGAUGUUUAUUCAUGUUCCAAGGUAAAUUGAUAAUUAUCUUCCCAAUUAUCACCUUCUCAAACUUCAUGCAUGUUUCAAAGUCUUGAUGCUUUCACCUAUCAAUAUUUGAAUUGGUUGUUGAAUGCAGUGAAGUGAGUACUAACAGGGGAUGCACAAGAUGUAUAAAGCGAACUACUCACAAAUAUGAAAGAAUGUUCGAUUGUCCAUCACAAUUUCAAGAGCAUUAUAUUUGUACCUUAUUUAUAGUUUCUCAUUUUUCAAUACUUGAUGUUACUACCAAAGCAAUAGCUAAGUUUUGUAAAAAAAUUCAUUGUUUGUUUACCAUUUUUACUGAUAUGGAAGUAUUUUAAUGAGAAUUCUUUAUCCGUGUCUUUUAUUAUUUCCAUUGUAUGUAUCACUUCAAUAGAAAUUCACAAUAAACUUGCAUAAUAUAUAAUUAAAAAAUGAUUAUUUUGAAAUUGUUUCCGGAAGUAUUAGAAUCUCAAUAAAAGUAUUUAAUCAAAUUUCUUAUUUGCUUAUAAAUUAAAAUAAUGACAAUUAAUAGUGUCACAAAAGCCCAUUUUACAAUCCACGUGCAAAUGCUUAUUGCAACACCUUGGAGUGUCUUUAUAUAUUUUUAUGCUUUAGCUACACUGGUAUAGACGACACAAGUAAUCAAUGUGGAGAUAGGUUAAAUGUUGCAACAAGUGAUUUAUUGGGACAGUUUUAGGUGUCCUUAAAAGCAAUUUUUCUUGUAGUGUACUUUUUCAUAAUGGUUAUAACUUAUAACCAACACUACUGUUUCUAGUACAUCAAGUACUAGAAUUUUAUUUAUGUUGGGAAGAAAAGAUUUUGUUGUUUAACUACUGUUUCUAGUAAAAAAAAGAACCAAGAACAUUUAAUUAUUUGAAAUUCAACCUGAAUUAGAAUUUUUGUCAUACUUAAUCUUACAUAGAAGUUGAAAAGUAUUUAGUUCAGAAGUAAGAACUUCCUUUGAGUCUGUCAGUUCUACAAAAUUGAUUAAUUUUCAAAUAUAAUUUCAAAUAAUUAAAAAUUCAUGUAUUUUUGUCACCAAAAAAUAAUAUUGAUUAAAAAUUAAAAUUUAGGUAUACCUAGUAUAUAUUUAUAGACCAUUAACAUUAUUUAAUCGCCAAAUUUGUUUACAAAAAUAAAAUUAAUGUUUGUAUCUUAAAUGUAUGUUUGAAUUUGUAGAUAUCGAUGAAUGUGCGGCAGCGGACCUCAACGUUUGUGUUGAGAAUAGUUGCUUGAACAACUUGGGGGGUUAUGAAUGUUCAUGUCCUAAAGGGCAGUUUGGGGAUGGCAAAAAGAAUGGUAAAGCUUGCACUCCUAAUAGCUCUACGUUUCCUGUGAUCAACGUUGCCUUAGGUAAUUCUCCAAAUUCUUUUACAUAUCGUAUUUUACUACAGUUUCCUGUGAUCAAAAUUCUUUAUGAGUUUUGUUCUGUUUUGGAUGAUAAAUUUUGAUGAUUAAUUGUACUUGUACUUCAUCAUAUUAUGAUCUUAUUCGAGAUGAUUAAACAAUGUAGGUACCGGAUUCGGUUUCCUAGCCGUAGUCAUUGCUGCAACAGUGAUAUACUUCAGCCUCAAGAAAAGAAAACUGAUAAAACUCAGAGAGAAAUUCUUCCAACAAAACGGCGGCAUGCUGCUAAAGCAGCAAGUCUCCUCUGUCGAAGAAGGCAAUUCCAUGGAAUCGACAAAGAUAUUCACGGCAUUGCAGCUGCAAAAGGCCACCAACAACUACGCCAAUGAUAGAAUCCUCGGCCGCGGAGGCUACGGCACCGUCUACAAGGGCAUCCUGCCCAACAACGACGUCGUGGCAAUCAAAAAGUCGAGAGUGAUGGACGCCACCCAGAUCGAACAGUUCAUCAACGAGGUCGUGAUCCUGACACAGAUCAAUCACAGGAACGUGGUCAAACUAUUAGGGUGUUGUCUGGAGGCGGAGGUGCCCUUGCUCGUGUACGAGUACGUCUCCCAUGGCACGCUCUACGAGCACAUCAACAGGUAGGGACGACAACUUUUCUAUGAUUCUAUUUGAUGAUAUAUAAGAACUUUUGAAAAGAAAAAAAAAAAUCUCACAAAAUAUUACUCCCUCCGUCCCAGCUGAAAUGUCCUGUUUCUUUUCGGCACGGAGAUUAAGAAAUGUGUAUAAAGUAGAUAAAGUGGGUUGGUGGAAAUUAUUUAAAUAUUAAGUAUAGAGAGAGUGUGUAUUGCCAAAAAAGAAAACAGGACAUUUCAAGUGGGACAACCCAAAAAGGAAAGCAGGACAUUUCAGCUGGGACAGAGGGAGUAAUAGUUUGAUAAUUUUAUAGUAAAAAAUAAAAACAUUUUUUUAUUCUUUUUAUCCAAACCUCUUACUAUGUUCGCCAUUGUUAAUAGGGCUGGGGCCGACAACUGGCUGUCCUGGGAGAGCCGCUUGAGGAUCGCGUCAGAGGCAGCCGGUGCCCUAUCGUACCUCCACUCGGCGGCGAACAUCCCGAUCAUCCACAGGGACGUGAAAUCCGCCAACAUCUUGCUCGAUGAGUACUUCACCGCUAAGAUCUCCGAUUUCGGAGCCUCUAGGCUUAUUUCCCUGGACCAGACAGAGGUGACA